CCUGAACUGCUUAGGCUGGGUCCAAGGGGUAUGCAAGCCCAGCAAGCGAAGUGUGGCCCUCGAGUCCUUUAGGCUAUGCAGACGCUUGUCCGUCUUUUCUGAAAACAGCCUCUGCCCCUCGAAGGGGAGGUUUUGAAUGGUCUGCUGGACCU
Non-coding RNA from Chelonoidis abingdonii (Abingdon island giant tortoise), 152 nucleotides. The record is from RefSeq and is a predicted model, not a curated record. Lineage: Eukaryota; Metazoa; Chordata; Testudines; Testudinidae.